GACGGAGGGUGCUAGCGUUGUUCGGAAUUAUUGGGCGUAAAGGGCGCGUAGGCGGCUCGGCACGUCCGUUGUGAAAUCGCCCGGCUCAACUGGGCGGGGUCGGCGGAUACGGCCGAGCUGGAGCAAGCUAGGGGGUAAUGGAAUUCCCGGUGUAGUGGUGGAAUGCGUAGAUAUCAGGAAGAACACCCGUGGCUAAGGCGGUUCUCUAGUACGGUACUGACGCUGAGACGCGAAAGCGUGGGGAGCGAACAGG
This 253-nucleotide ribosomal RNA is filed under the name uncultured bacterium. RNAcentral describes it as "partial 16S ribosomal RNA". It matches the Rfam family "Bacterial small subunit ribosomal RNA", at positions 524 to 776 of the family's 1533-position model. The record is from RNAcentral.